UAUAUUUUAGUAUACGGCGUACGUAGGUUUUUGAUACUUUAAGAAAUAGUUUGACUCUAUUAAAUAUAA
This 69-nucleotide transfer RNA is filed under the name Mystonectes coelamboides. RNAcentral's name for it is "tRNA-Gln". Lineage: Eukaryota; Metazoa; Arthropoda; Insecta; Coleoptera; Dytiscidae. The record is from RNAcentral.